This 1024-nucleotide long non-coding RNA is filed under the name Monodelphis domestica (gray short-tailed opossum). Its description in RNAcentral is "lncRNA (ENSMODG00000044230.1)". The record is from RNAcentral. Lineage: Eukaryota; Metazoa; Chordata; Mammalia; Didelphimorphia; Didelphidae.
CUUGAGGAAGUCAUUUCAUUCCUUGAGGCCUUCAUUUUCUCAUCUGUGAAAUGAGAUUUGGAUUAAUGUUAUUUAUUAUAUUGACAAGAGUUCUGAAACUGGUGAAGCAGGGGAAUGAGGUGGAUAUGGUUUACUUUGAUUUCAGAGAAGACUUUAAUAGAGUAUCUCACACUAUUCUUGUUGGAAAAUAAUAGAGAGAUAUGGGCUGGACAAUAUAAUAAAAUUAGAUGGAUUCGGAACUGGGUGAGUGGCUAGAUGUAGUAAUGAUAAAAUGUUUCUAAUGGACCGCCGCAGGGAUCUGGGCUUGGCCUUGUGCAUUUCUAUCAGUGGCUUGGAGAAAGGCAUAAAUGGCACCUUUGCUAAAUGUGCAGAUAGCAGAAAACCAGGUGGGAGAGCUACUACUGGAUGGCAUCAUCAGUAACAAAUAAGAUGUUGGCCCAUUAGAGCACUGGGGUAUUUCUCCCAAGAUGAAACUGAAUAUGGAUAUGUAUUGGGAUAUAUCUAAGCAGUUGAAAUUUAACAUGAAUAUCUCAACACUUGGGUUCAAAAAAUUGAUUUCAUGAGUAGGAGAUGGGAGAUGUUAUGUUAUUUAGCAGAUUGAAGAAGAUCUGGGGCUCUUAGUGAACUUCAAGCUCAAAAUGAUAAUAUUCUAUUACAGAAGUUACAACAACAACAAGAAAUGUGGCUUUGGAUUGCAUUAAGAAGAAAGCAUUAUAUUUGUUCUUCUUGGCCAUUACAAGUCAGGGCUGGGAGCCAUGGAUAUGAGAUGCAGAUGGAGAAUGAUCUUCAGACCUGGAAGAGAAAACAAAAACAGCAAUUUGAUACCCCAGAUAAAGAGUUAGUAAGAGGGCACCUAGCUGCCCUUGAUGAAUCAAGUCACUUGGCCUAUGAACCACAUCCUCAGGUCCUGGAAAAAUGAAAAACCAGGCAGAUAUGAUUGCUGAACCACAUUAUCUGCCAAGAUUUCAUGGUUCCCAUGUCAUAUUGAAGGAUACCACAGUCACCUGAAAGGGUUUAUCAUAAC